UCCCUGGUAGUCCAUUGGCUAAGACUCUGGGCUCCCAAUGCAGGCAGGGGGCCUGGGUUCGAUCCCUGUCAGGGAA
This 76-nucleotide transfer RNA is filed under the name Capra hircus (goat). It matches the Rfam family "tRNA". From Rfam's summary of the family: Transfer RNA (tRNA) molecules are approximately 80 nucleotides in length. Their secondary structure includes four short double-helical elements and three loops (D, anti-codon, and T loops). Further hydrogen bonds mediate the characteristic L-shaped molecular structure. tRNAs have two regions of fundamental functional importance: the anti-codon, which is responsible for specific mRNA codon recognition, and the 3' end, to which the tRNAs corresponding amino acid is attached (by aminoacyl-tRNA synthetases). tRNAs cope with the degeneracy of the genetic code in two manners: having more than one tRNA (with a specific anti-codon) for a particular amino acid; and 'wobble' base-pairing, i.e. permitting non-standard base-pairing at the 3rd anti-codon position. RNAcentral also lists the same sequence under 1 other name. The record is from Rfam by way of RNAcentral. Lineage: Eukaryota; Metazoa; Chordata; Mammalia; Artiodactyla; Bovidae.